UACGUAGGGGGCUAGCGUUGUCCGGAUUUAUUGGGCGUAAAGAGCGUGUAGGCGGCCAGGUAGGUCUGCUGUGAAAGUCGGGGGCUCAACCCUCGGAUGCCGGUGGAUACUGUCGGGCUUGAGUACGGAAGAGGCGAGUGGAAUUCCUGGUGUAGCGGUGAAAUGCGCAGAUAUCAGGAGGAACACCAAUUGCGAAGGCAGCUCGCUGGGACGUUACUGACGCUGAGACGCGAAAGCGUGGGGAGCAAACAGG
This 253-nucleotide ribosomal RNA is filed under the name uncultured bacterium. RNAcentral describes it as "partial 16S ribosomal RNA". It matches the Rfam family "Bacterial small subunit ribosomal RNA", at positions 524 to 776 of the family's 1533-position model. The record is from RNAcentral.